This 76-nucleotide transfer RNA is filed under the name Povalibacter uvarum. RNAcentral describes it as "tRNA-Thr". It matches the Rfam family "tRNA". From Rfam's summary of the family: Transfer RNA (tRNA) molecules are approximately 80 nucleotides in length. Their secondary structure includes four short double-helical elements and three loops (D, anti-codon, and T loops). Lineage: Bacteria; Pseudomonadati; Pseudomonadota; Gammaproteobacteria; Steroidobacterales; Steroidobacteraceae. RNAcentral also lists the same sequence under 2 other names. The record is from RNAcentral.
GCCGGCUUAGCACAGUUGGUAGUGCAUCUGAUUUGUAAUCAGAGGGUCGGGGGUUCGAGUCCCUCAGCCGGCACCA